GUCAUUGGGUAUAUUUAAUUAAAACCCAAAGGCGAAAUUAACUUAACUAUUAUAUAUUAAUAUAUAUAAUGGGAUUAAUUAUAUAAAUAUUUUUAAUAUUUAUAUAUUCCAUCCCGAGGCGUUCUAUAUAGUUAUGCAUUUUAAUAAAUUUUUAUAAAUUUAUUAUUUAUGCCUCUAACUAGAGCGUACUUUGAGCACACAUUUUGUGACCCGAAAGAUGGUGAACUAUACCUGAUCAGGUUGAAGUCAGGGGAAACCCUGAUGGAGGACCGAAACAGUUCUGACGUGCAAAUCGAUUGUCAGAAUUGGGUAUAGGGGCGAAAGACCAAUCGAACCAUCUAGUAGCUGGUUCCUUCCGAAGUUUCCCUCAGGAUAGCUGGUGCAAUUAAGUAUUAUAUGGUAUAAUCUUAUCUGGUAAAGCGAAUGAUUAGAGGCCUUAGGGCCGAAACGACCUUAACCUAUUCUCAAACUUUAAAUGGGUAAGAACCUUACCUUUCUUGAUAUGAAGGUAUAGGUUAUGAUAUAUUGUGCCCAGUGGGCCAUUUUUGGUAAGCAGAACUGGCGCUGUGGGAUGAACCAAACGUGAUGUUAAGGCGCCUAAAUUAACAACUCAUACUGAUACCAUGAAAGGCGUUGCUUGCUUAAAACAGCAGGACGGGGGACAUGGAAGUCGUAAUCCGCUAAGGAGUGUGUAACAACUCACCUGCCGAAGCAACUAGCCCUUAAAAUGGAUGGCGCUCAAGUUGUAUGCCUAUACAUCACCGUUAAAAUAUAUGAUUUAUUUAUAAUAAAAAUAUAUAUAAAUUUUGAAACUUUAAUGAGUAGGAGGGUACAAUGGUAUGCGUAGAAGUGUUUGGCGUAAGCCUGCAUGGAGCUGCCAUUGGUACAGAUCUUGGUGGUAGUAGCAAAUAAUCGAAUGAGACCUUGGAGGACUGAAGUGGAGAAGGGUUUCGUGUGAACAGUGGUUGAUCACGAGUUAGUCGGUCCUAAGUUCAAGGCGAAAGCCGAAAAAUGAUAAGUUAUUUUAAAUAUAUAAAAUAUACACACUUAUUAAUUUUAUGAACGAAAGGGAAUACGGUUCCAAUUCCGUAACCUGUUGAGUAUACGUUUGUUAUUAAAAAUGGGCUUUUAUGCUCAUCCUGGCAACAGAAACAACCAUAAAGAAGCCGUCGAGAAAUAUCGAAAGAGUUUUCUUUUCUGUUUCAUAGUCGUACUACCAUGGAAGUCUUUCGAAGAGAGAUAUGGUAGAUGGACUAGAAGAGCAUGGCAUUUACUGCUGUGUCGAUAUUUUCUCCUCGGACCUUGAAAAUUUAUGGUGGGGUCACGCAAACUUCUUAACAGGCCGUACCGAUAUCCGCAGCUGGUCUCCAAGGGAAGAG
Molecule: ribosomal RNA, 1379 nt
Filed under: Proctacanthus nearno
Lineage: Eukaryota; Metazoa; Arthropoda; Insecta; Diptera; Asilidae
Description: eukaryotic LSU rRNA
Rfam family: Eukaryotic large subunit ribosomal RNA
Source: RNAcentral